This 110-nucleotide ribosomal RNA is filed under the name Subramaniula asteroides. Its description in RNAcentral is "partial 5.8S ribosomal RNA". It matches the Rfam family "5.8S ribosomal RNA", at positions 48 to 154 of the family's 154-position model. From Rfam's summary of the family: 5.8S ribosomal RNA (5.8S rRNA) is a component of the large subunit of the eukaryotic ribosome. It is transcribed by RNA polymerase I as part of the 45S precursor that also contains 18S and 28S rRNA. Lineage: Eukaryota; Fungi; Ascomycota; Sordariomycetes; Sordariales; Chaetomiaceae. The record is from RNAcentral.
GCGAAAUGCGAUAAGUAAUGUGAAUUGCAGAAUUCAGUGAAUCAUCGAAUCUUUGAACGCACAUUGCGCCCGCCAGUAUUCUGGCGGGCAUGCCUGUUCGAGCGUCAUUU